Molecule: long non-coding RNA, 2745 nt
Organism: Nerophis ophidion (straightnose pipefish)
Lineage: Eukaryota; Metazoa; Chordata; Actinopteri; Syngnathiformes; Syngnathidae
Exons: 4
Source: RefSeq, a predicted model, not a curated record
UUCUGAAGUUGACCUGUUGAUAUUUAAAUAUUGAAAGCAAAGACAAAUAAUAUACUAUUUGACUGAGACCCAUUUUGGGUCCCUAAGACUUUUAACAAUCAAGGAAAGACCUUAAGGUUUUAAAAACCAAAAUGGCCCCUACAUUCGUUAACUUUUAAGUGUGCGGCCCUUUGUGGUAAAGUUUUGGACAUCCCUUGUUUCGUUUUAAUGAAUAGCUGAGCAGAAAGGAAUCCUGUAUAGAUUAUACAUUAAUAGUACUUUAAAACAUUUUUUUUAAUUAAAGUGAGUCAUUGUGUUUCAGUAUUUUUGCCCUGCCACUUGUAGGAACCCUCAUUCUGCAUGUUUUUGUACAAACUAUUGUUGGACAAUCUCUCAACGCUGCAUUCAAACAUUUUCAUAGUUGAACCUUACAUGUAGAAACACAAUUGUUUCUUGGUGCUGUGCUUACUAAACGGAGGAAAACAAAUCUAAAGGACAAGAACUUGCAAUUUUUAAAAUCAGUAUCUCAUGAUUGUUUGGGUGUGACAGGGUAUGUCUGGAGAAUCUGGCACUAAAGGACAGGUGAGUUGUGUAUGAUCAUGUGUUAAGUAAAUAUACACUUCAUGCACUUGUAUGUGUUUGCAGCACAGAGUGAGGAGACCUUGGACAUAAUGGUCCAACAUGGAGACUCUGGGAAGCCAGGUGAUGUAGGACCCCCUGGACUGCCUGGUCCUCGGGGGUUGAACGGCAUGAGCGGUGUGCAUGGCAGGCCGGGUAUUGAGGGUCCACCGGGACAAGAUAUAUCUGACCAGCAUAUUAUUGAUGUGGUAUAAAGAAUGUUGCAAGAGAGGGUGGCAGCAGUAGCAGUGAGCACUAAAAGGGCUGUGCCGUUGAACAACCGGCUAUUCUGGUCCUCCGUGAUUAAUGGUUCCACAAAGACCACAUGGUUUGCCUGGUUCCCGAAGAAUUACUGGAACGAUGGGAGCUGUCAGACGGAUUGGAAACACAGGUCUUAAAGCAGGAUGUGCUCCAUUCGACUGCUGGAGAGUUCUGUGCCGUUUUGAGCAGGAGGAGAAUAUAUAGGGAGGUCUGCAGUGGGCGGGGCUCCAGCUCAACACUGCAGCGUCGAUGUUUGACUUCUCCAAACUAAUCCUACAGUUGUGAUGUGUCUACUCGACAUACAAUGUGCAUCACAACGUGGACAAACACACAGGUAAGUAUUAUGGUGUUUUUUGAAAGCAUUAAAAUGUUUGCUUUGAUGUUUCUCCGACUCCUGUUUAUUGUUGUGUCUAAAACAAGUUUCGGUACUCAACUUGUGGCCCCCCAACAACACACACACCACAACAAAGUCCCCAGAAGGCCCACGAAUGAUGGGACGCCACCCAGACGGACUGGAGGCACAGGCUUGGUUAGGAUUCGGGUUAGGGUUAGGAUUGGGGGAAGGGGAAUGCACAGUCCGUCUGCAGCCCGCCCGGGCGACGCCCACACCAACCCCGGAACCCCCCGAAGACCCUGAAAGAUGCGCAUGCUGCGUCAGACACAUACAGCCAAAUUAGUGACGGGCAUGACUGGCCCUGCCAUCCAGCGACGCGUUUCGGUCUCUUGACCUCUUCAGGCUGGCUUUGCACUGAUUGCAGGAUGUAAUCAUCUUUUUCACUGCGAGUCUGUGCCUACUGGGACACUUCUAAUUCCCUAGUAGGUGGGGCACUUCUAAUCCCCUAGACUUACGGCUACUCUACUUUUCUCUACAGCAGGAUGUGCUCCAUUCGACUGCUGGAGAGUUCUGUGCCGUUUUGAGCAGGAGGAGAAUAUAUAGGGAGGUCUGCAGUGGGCGGGGCUCCAGCUCAACACUGCAGCGUCGAUGUUUGACUUCUCCAAACUAAUCCUACAGUUGUGAUGUGUCUACUCGACAUACAAUGUGCAUCACAACGUGGACAAACACACAGGUAAGUAUUAUGGUGUUUUUUGAAAGCAUUAAAAUGUUUGCUUUGAUGUUUCUCCGACUCCUGUUUAUUGUUGUGUCUAAAACAAGUUUCGGUACUCAACUUGUGGCCCCCCAACAACACACACACCACAACAAAGUCCCCAGAAGGCCCACGAAUGAUGGGACGCCACCCAGACGGACUGGAGGCACAGGCUUGGUUAGGAUUCGGGUUAGGGUUAGGAUUGGGGGAAGGGGAAUGCACAGUCCGUCUGCAGCCCGCCCGGGCGACGCCCACACCAACCCCGGAACCCCCCGAAGACCCUGAAAGGUGCGCAUGCUGCGUCAGACACAUACAGCCAAAUUAGUGACGGGCAUGACUGGCCCUGCCAUCCAGCGACGCGUUUCGGUCUCUUGACCUCUUCAGGCUGGCUUUGCACUGAUUGCAGGAUGUAAUCAUCUUUUUCACUGCGAGUCUGUGCCUACUGGGACACUUCUAAUUCCCUAGUAGGUGGGGCACUUCUAAUCCCCUAGACUUACGGCUACUCUACUUUUCUCUACAGCAGGAUGUGCUCCAUUCGACUGCUGGAGAGUUCUGUGCCGUUUUGAGCAGGAGGAGAAUAUAUAGGGAGGUCUGCAGUGGGCGGGGCUCCAGCUCAACACUGCAGCGUCGAUGUUUGACUUCUCCAAACUAAUCCUACAGUUGUGAUGUGUCUACUCGACAUACAAUGUGCAUCACAACGUGGACAAACACACAGGUAAGUAUUAUGGUGUUUUUUGAAAGCAUUAAAAUGUUUGCUUUGAUGUUUCUCCGACUCCUGUUUAUUGUUGUGUCUAAAACAAGU